ACACGGCGGUUUGUUGUUCGCAUCAUUUGACAGUGUAUUACGCACCGAACAUCAGUCAUGAUCUUCCGUGUACCUCAGAUCCUCUUAAUUCUUCUUGUAAUCUCCUUGGGUAGCAUCACCGUGCACACGAAACCAGAUUUUGAAGGAAACAAACCCCGUGUUGACACUUGCACACCUGAAGAUAAAAGAAAUAGGCGGUGUCGUUAAAAUGGAGAAUGAAGACCAGUGGCGUGGCAUGAAUGAUUGAUUAUCGAUAUAUUUCCCCAUUUGAACCCGAGGUAGGGAAUCGAUUAUUUUGGAGUUCGCUGCGAACACCCUGUUAAUCGAUCCUUUUCCAUAGGUUAAAAUGACAGAUCAAUCGAUAUAUCGCAAGACACGCCACGCCACUGAUGGAGACUAAGUACCCCAAAGAGUCUCAAGGUCAGCAUCUACAAUCUGAGCAUGACACAAUUUUUCAAGAUGUGUGUUACGAGAUACAUUCGAAUGUAUAUUGAUGAAAACUCAACCGACAAACCCAUACUGAAAUAUUUUUGAAAUGAUGAAAGCACGAAGACCAUGGACGGAACCUAACGCAAUUUUUUCUUAAAAUAAGAGAAAUCGUAAUAAAUUGUAACACAAUAA
Molecule: long non-coding RNA, 621 nt
Organism: Bemisia tabaci
Lineage: Eukaryota; Metazoa; Arthropoda; Insecta; Hemiptera; Aleyrodidae
Source: RefSeq, a predicted model, not a curated record